AAUGAACGCUGGCGGCAUGCCUUACACAUGCAAGUCGAACGGCAGCAUGACCUAGCUUGCUAGGUUGAUGGCGAGUGGCGAACGGGUGAGUAAUGCAUCGGAACGUGCCUUUUAGUGGGGGAUAACGUAGCGAAAGUUACGCUAAUACCGCAUAUUCUCUGAGGAGGAAAGCAGGGGGCCUUCGGGCCUUGCGCUAGAAGAGCGGCCGAUGUCGGAUUAGCUAGUUGGUGAGGUAAAGGCUCACCAAGGCAACGAUCCGUAGCGGGUCUGAGAGGAUGAUCCGCCACCGUGGGGCUGAGACCCGGCCCAGCCCCCUGCGGGGGGCAGCAGUGGGGAAUUUUGGACAAUGGGCGCAAGCCUGUCCCAGCCCUGCCGCGUGGGGGAAGAAGGCCUUCGGGUUGUAAAGGUCUUUCGGCUGGGAAGAAAUCGCACCCCCUAAUACGGGGGGGGGGUGACGGUACCGGCAAAAAAAGCCCCGGCUAACUACGU
This 489-nucleotide ribosomal RNA is filed under the name uncultured bacterium. RNAcentral describes it as "partial 16S ribosomal RNA". It matches the Rfam family "Bacterial small subunit ribosomal RNA", at positions 28 to 506 of the family's 1533-position model. The record is from RNAcentral.